UUUUUUAACUGUCUCCGAUUUAUAUUCUUCCAAAGUAUCGAUUCCCCAUUUUUCUGAAAUUUGUUACUUUCGUUUCCACCGAUUUAAUUUUUAAUCCGCUACUUCGAUGACUAAAAACGGUAUAUUUAUCGAAUAUGUAUAAGUAAAGAAUUAAUUUUAUUCGAAUUCGAAGAUCUUUGAAAAAUAAUCACAGGGAAUGAGAAGCGUCACCCAAAGAAAUUCGAAACAUUUUAUAAAUGUUAUGUACUAAACUCUAUUCUACUUCUAUGGUUGAAGAUUGUUUAAAUAUUAAAAAUUUAAAUAUUUUAUGUUAUUGUAUGAUCGAUACAUUGUACAAAAUGUCAUUUCUUAACAACUUCUUAUCGUAGAAAAAAUAUGAUGCAGUUGUCAUGAGCACGUGUAAAUAGGUGAUUACGGGAGGGGAUAAGACAUUUUUUAAAGUCAAUGAAUUAACUUAUUGUUACUCCGAUCGUUAUUAUCGAUGAAAUUUACUCCGCUUUUCUUUUUGUAAUAAAUUAAUCUCUCUAUUUAUAUUGUUUAUAAGAUAUAUAUUUAUUUUAUGUUAUGGCCACUGUAGCAACUACUCUAACCUAAAACAACAAGCUUUUCAUAUUUUAAUGAUAAGUGUUGCACCAAUUAUAUGUGAGUCAAUUUUAUUAUACAAUGGAUAAUAUAUUUGGUAAGGAAGAUUCUGGAAAUGAAAGCGAACAUAUGGAUAUCGAAGAGAAGGAAGAAAAAGGUAGUCCCUCUCGACAUUCUGGAAUUAAAGAUGUAGAAUCACUGGAUGUGGAUAGUAUGCAGGUAGAAUCAGACGCGAUGAGUUCUCAAUCCCAGUCCGAUGUGGAAGAAGCAGGAUCUAAUUCAAUGUGUACGGUAGUGGAGGAUCAAUUGGAGAUUGUUAAACAUGAAAUUGAUUCUAGAGAAGAAGAGCAAAUAACUGAAGAUAUGUUUGAAAAUGAUAUAGUAUUACCUCAUGCAAAUCCAACAACCGUUAAGGAAAGAAGAGAAAGCAGAGAGAAAAGCAAAAAGGAGUUGGAAGAAGAAGAGAGAGAAAAAAUGCAAGUAUUAGUUUCAAAUUUUACGGAAGAUCAAUUGGACAGAUACGAAAUGUAUAGAAGAGCUGCUUUUCCAAAAGCAGCGAUAAAAAGGAUCAUGCAAACUAUAACGGGUUGCUCUGUGUCGCAAAACGUAGUAAUUGCUAUGUCCGGUAUUGCGAAGGUAUUUGUAGGAGAAAUCGUAGAAGAAGCUCUCGAUGUCAUGGAAGCACAUCAAGAAACAGGGCCAUUACAGCCUAAACAUUUGAGAGAAGCGGUCCGAAGAUUGAGACUUCAAGGGCAGAUUCCGAAUGGUCGUGCUCAUAAGGCGUUUUUCAGGCUAAGAUGCGGGCGAUGUAAUAAAACUUGAAAAGUUUCACGUUACUGAAUUGACAGACAAUGCCUUAAAACUCACUUCAAAUAUUGUGACAAUUAUUUUAAUACAUGAAUGCAUACGCGAUAAACAAGAUGAGAGCUUCAUUUCCGCUCGAUUAAAUUCUACACAUAAAUAUGCAGCUUCUAGCAAGAUUUUGAAAUAUCAUAAUCGAAAGUUGCUCGAUU
This is an unclassified non-coding RNA of Megachile rotundata (alfalfa leafcutting bee), 1595 nucleotides long. The record is from RefSeq and is a predicted model, not a curated record. Lineage: Eukaryota; Metazoa; Arthropoda; Insecta; Hymenoptera; Megachilidae.